RNAcentral lists this ribosomal RNA (370 nucleotides) under uncultured Desulfobulbus sp. RNAcentral describes it as "bacterial SSU rRNA". It matches the Rfam family "Bacterial small subunit ribosomal RNA", at positions 1014 to 1382 of the family's 1533-position model. Lineage: Bacteria; Pseudomonadati; Thermodesulfobacteriota; Desulfobulbia; Desulfobulbales; Desulfobulbaceae. The record is from RNAcentral.
CUUCCAUCUGGAAGAAUCUGGAGACAGGUGCUGCAUGGCUGUCGUCAGCUCGUGUCGUGAGAUGUUGGGUUAAGUCCCGCACGAGCGCAACCCUUGCCUUUAGUUGCCAGCAGUUCGGCUGGGCACUCUAAAGGGACUGCCGGUGUUAAACCGGAGGAAGGUGGGGAUGACGUCAAGUCCUCAUGGCCUUUAUGACCAGGGCUACACACGUACUACAAUGGCCGAUACAAAGGGCAGCGACACUGCGAGGUGAAGCCAAUCCCGUAAAAUCGGUCUCAGUCCGGAUUGGAGUCUGCAACUCGACUCCAUGAAGUUGGAAUCGCUAGUAAUCGUGGGUCAGCAUGCCACGGUGAAUACGUUCCCGGGCCUU